This 497-nucleotide ribosomal RNA is filed under the name uncultured bacterium. Its description in RNAcentral is "partial 16S ribosomal RNA". It matches the Rfam family "Bacterial small subunit ribosomal RNA", at positions 28 to 507 of the family's 1533-position model. The record is from RNAcentral.
GAUGAACGCUGGCGGCGUGCCUAAUACAUGCAAGUCGAGCGAACAGACGAGGAGCUUGCUCCUCUGACGUUAGCGGCGGACGGGUGAGUAACACGUGGAUAACCUACCUAUAAGACUGGGAUAACUUCGGGAAACCGGAGCUAAUAACGGAUAAUAUAUUGAACCGCAUGGUUCAAUAGUGAAAGACGGUUUUGCUGUCACUUAUAGAUGGAUCCGCGCCGCAUUAGCUAGUUGGUAAGGUAACGGCUUACCAAGGCAACGAUGCGUAGCCGACCUGAGAGGGUGAUCAGCCACACUGGAACUGAGACACGGUCCAGACUCCUACGGGAGGCAGCAGUAGGGAAUCUUCCGCAAUGGGCGAAAGCCUGACGGAGCAACGCCGCGUGAGUGAUGAAGGUCUUCGGAUCGUAAAGCUCUGUUAUUAGGGAAGAACAAAUGUGUAAGUAACUAUGCACGUCUUGACGGUACCUAAUCAGAAAGCCACGGCUAACUACGUG